The sequence is a regulatory RNA element, 67 nucleotides long. It matches the Rfam family "S-element". From Rfam's summary of the family: This family represents a group of S-elements from p42d and related plasmids. The S-element has multiple functions and is believed to act as a negative regulator of repC transcription, be required for efficient replication and act as a translational enhancer of repC. The record is from Rfam.
CGUCAAGAGUUUUUGCGCCAUUUUGGUGAGUGAUUUUCUUUUGCCUGCUGAAAGGUAAAAGAUGAUG